UUUUUCAGAGACGCCCAUGAGAAUCUUCCACAAUGGACGAAAGUCUGAUGGAGCAACGCCGCGUGAGUGAUGAAGGUUUUCGGAUCGUAAAACUCUGUUGUUAAAGAAGAACAAGUGUUAGAGUAACUGUUAACACUUUGACGGUAUUUAACCAGAAAGCCACGGCUAACUACGUGCCAGCAGCCGCGGUAAUACGUAGGUGGCAAGCGUUGUCCGGAUUUAUUGGGCGUAAAGCGAGCGCAGGCGGUUUUGUAAGUCUGCUGUGAAAGCCCUCAGCUCAACUGAGGAAGUGCAGUGGAAACUACAAAACUUGAGUACAGAAGAGGAAAGUGGAACUCCAUGUGUAGCGGUGAAAUGCGUAGAUAUAUGGAAGAACACCAGUGGCGAAGGCGGCUUUCUGGUCUGUUACUGACGCUGAGGCUCGAAAGCAUGGGUAGCGAACAGGAUUAGAUACCCUGGUAGUCCAUGCCGUAAACGAUGAAUACUAGGUGUUGGAGGGUUUCCGCCCUUCAGUGCCGCAGCUAACGCAUUAAGUAUUCCGCCUGGGGAGUACGACCGCAAGGUUGAAACUCAAAGGAAUUGACGGGGGCCCGCACAAGUGGUGGAGCAUGUGGUUUAAUUCGAUGCUACGCGAAGAACCUUACCAGCUCUUGACAUCUUCUGCCAACCCAAGAGAUUGGGCGUUCCCUUCGGGGACAGAAUGACAGGUGGUGCAUGGUGUCGUCAGCUCGUCUG
This 735-nucleotide ribosomal RNA is filed under the name Apilactobacillus kunkeei. Its description in RNAcentral is "bacterial SSU rRNA". It matches the Rfam family "Bacterial small subunit ribosomal RNA", at positions 337 to 1066 of the family's 1533-position model. The record is from RNAcentral. Lineage: Bacteria; Bacillati; Bacillota; Bacilli; Lactobacillales; Lactobacillaceae.